AUGGAGUAUCAGCCCAUCAUCUCUGCACUCGACGUCCGCACCGAUCCCAUCACCGUUGAUGCGCUCUUCUCUAUGGUGGCAAACUUCGAUCAACACGCUGAGAUGUUCAGCGGCACUGGUGGCUUCAAGUCUUCAGCGAAUGCCGCCUCCAGGGGUCGACCGGGUGGCGGCAGAGGCGGCUACUGCAACAAGAAGCAAGGUGGUCGCGGCGGCGGCUGCUCUGGUGGUGGCGGCCAAAACCCUAGCAGCGGCUACCCUGGCACGGGCAGCAGCGGCUACAACCAUGGCGGUGGUGGUUACAACAACCAGAGUGGCGGCGGCUACAACAACCCAUGGCACCGGCGGUGGCCAAGGCAACGGCCACCGUGGCGGCGGCGGCGGGGGCUACUACAACAACAAUGGCCCUCCGCGCCACUACUACAACAACAACCAAGGGGGCCGUUUCGCCGGGUAUGA
This 456-nucleotide ribosomal RNA is filed under the name Triticum aestivum (bread wheat). RNAcentral describes it as "partial small subunit ribosomal RNA". The record is from RNAcentral. Lineage: Eukaryota; Viridiplantae; Streptophyta; Magnoliopsida; Poales; Poaceae.